GAUGAACGCUAGCUACAGGCUUAACACAUGCAAGUCGAGGGGCAGCAUGGACAUAGCUUGCUAUGUUUGAUGGCGACCGGCGCACGGGUGCGUAACACGUAUCCAAUCUGCCCGUUACUCGGGGAUAGCCUUCUGAAAGGAAGAUUAAUACCCGAUGGCAUGUAUUUCCGGCAUCGGAGAUACAUUAAAGAUUUAUCGGUAACGGAUGAGGAUGCGUACGAUUAGCUGGUUGGCGGGGUAACGGCCCACCAAGGCGACGAUCGUUAGGGGUUCUGAGAGGAAGGUCCCCCACACUGGAACUGAGACACGGUCCAGACUCCUACGGGAGGCAGCAGUGAGGAAUAUUGGUCAAUGGGCAGAGCCUGAACCAGCCAAGUAGCGUGAAGGAUGACUGCCCUACGGGUUGUAAACUUCUUUGUUCGGGAAUAAAGUGCAGUACGCGUACUGUUUUGUAUGUACCGUUCGAAUAAGCAUCGGCUAAUUCCGUGCCAGCAGCCG
This 498-nucleotide ribosomal RNA is filed under the name uncultured bacterium. RNAcentral describes it as "bacterial SSU rRNA". It matches the Rfam family "Bacterial small subunit ribosomal RNA", at positions 28 to 517 of the family's 1533-position model. The record is from RNAcentral.